RNAcentral lists this ribosomal RNA (352 nucleotides) under uncultured bacterium. RNAcentral describes it as "partial 16S ribosomal RNA". It matches the Rfam family "Bacterial small subunit ribosomal RNA", at positions 338 to 687 of the family's 1533-position model. The record is from RNAcentral.
CCUACGGGUGGCAGCAGUGAGGACUAUUUGUCAAUGGGCGCGAGCCUGAACCAGCCAAGUAGCGUGAAGGAUGACGGCCCUACGGGUUGUAAACUUCUUUUAUAAAGGAAUAAAGUGCGGCCCGUGUGCCUUUUUGUAUGUACUUUAUGAAUAAGGAUCGGCUAACUCCAUGCCAGCAGCCGCGUGAAUACUGAGGAUCCGAGCGUUAUCCGGAGUUAUUGGGUUUAAAGGGAGCGUAGAUGGGUUGUUAAGUCAGUGGUGAAAGGUUGCGGCUCAACCGUAAAAUGUCAAUUGAUACUGGCAGUCUUAAGGACAGUUGAGGUAGGCGGAAUUCGGGGUGUAGCGGUGAAAU